This 392-nucleotide ribosomal RNA is filed under the name uncultured bacterium. Its description in RNAcentral is "bacterial SSU rRNA". It matches the Rfam family "Bacterial small subunit ribosomal RNA", at positions 29 to 417 of the family's 1533-position model. The record is from RNAcentral.
AGCGAACGUUUGCGGCGGGCUUAACACAUGCAAGUCGAGCGGGCUGUUCCUUCGGGGGCAGUCAGUGGCGCACGGGUGCGUAACACGUAGGUAAUCAACCCUCUGGUUGGGGAUAACACUUCGAAAGGAGUGCUAAUACCCGGUAUGGCGCAGCGGUCUUCGGAUCGCGGCGAGAAAGACCCGCAAGGGUUGCCAGAGGACGAGCCUGCGGCCCAUCAGCUAGUUGGCGAGGUAACGGCUCACCAAGGCGAAGACGGGUAGCUGGUCUGAGAGGAUGAUCAGCCACACUGGAACUGAGACACGGUCCAGACUCCUACGGGAGGCAGCAGUGGGGAAUAUUGCGCAAUGGGCGAAAGCCUGACGCAGCCACGCCGCGUGAGCGAUGAAGGCCU